AACGAACGCUGGCGGCAGGCCUAACACAUGCAAGUCGAGCGAGACCUUCGGGUCUAGCGGCGGACGGGUUAGUAACGCGUGGGAACGUGCCCUUCUCUGCGGAAUAGCCACUGGAAACGGUGAGUAAUACCGCAUACGCCCUUCGGGGGAAAGAUUUAUCGGAGAAGGAUCGGCCCGCGUUAGAUUAGAUAGUUGGUGGGUAACGGCCUACCAAGUCUACGAUCUAUAGCUGGUUUUAGAGGAUGAUCAGCAACACUGGGACUGAGACACGGCCCAGACUCCUACGGGAGGCAGCAGUGGGGAAUCUUGGACAAUGGGCGCAAGCCUGAUCCAACCAUGCCGCGUGAGUGAUGAAGGCCUUAGGGUCGUAAAGCUCUUUCGCCAGAGAUGAUAAUGACAGUAUCUGGUAAAGAAGUCCCGGCUAACUCCGUG
RNAcentral lists this ribosomal RNA (432 nucleotides) under uncultured bacterium. RNAcentral describes it as "bacterial SSU rRNA". It matches the Rfam family "Bacterial small subunit ribosomal RNA", at positions 29 to 507 of the family's 1533-position model. The record is from RNAcentral.